GUAGCUCAGUGGUUAGAGCAUCUGCUUUGCACGCAGAAAGUCCUUGGUUCAAUAUCCAGGUCA
RNAcentral lists this transfer RNA (63 nucleotides) under Podarcis lilfordi (Lilford's wall lizard). RNAcentral describes it as "tRNA.Ala". It matches the Rfam family "tRNA", at positions 8 to 63 of the family's 71-position model. Rfam says of the family: Transfer RNA (tRNA) molecules are approximately 80 nucleotides in length. Their secondary structure includes four short double-helical elements and three loops (D, anti-codon, and T loops). Lineage: Eukaryota; Metazoa; Chordata; Lepidosauria; Squamata; Lacertidae. The record is from RNAcentral.